GGCUAAGAUCCUCCAUUAGGCUAACACCCAUUAGGGGUGCUCAAGUUCCCCUCCCUGAAAGACGAGAAGAGCUUGACCCAGUCAUACCAUUUCUGAGUAUCCUCUUUCUCCUCUUGCUUUCUCCUCUUGCCCAUGGCAGGCAUUUAAAUAUUUAAGAACCGAAGAAGUUAUUGGAGAAAAGUGGACAUUGAAUACUGCUGAGAGAUUAGAGUAGUUCUAAAGUCAGUCAGCAGAUGAGAAGGCUGUUUCAAUGAGCCCAUCCAUUUCCACAUGCAGUGCUGAUGGCCCUGUUAUUCCAAAGGCCGGUAACUGUAAUAUCACCCGCACUAGAAGAAACCUUCAAGUAAUGUGGCAAAAGUUGAAAAACAGGAAAUGCAGUCAGUUGGGAAAUUGACACCUUUCUGGAAGAGGAGGGAAUUACAGUAUGAAAAAGGAGCUAGAUUCUUUGAGGAAAUGUUUCUAGGGAAACAACGGCCAGUCAGUUGUCCUUGCUGUGCAGAGAAACCUGUCACCUGCUCAUAUACCUGCCCAGAUAAGAAGAUUAUCCAAGUGGACCCUGAAUCAGUCCAGAGUUCUCCAGAGAUGAUGGAAGCUGAGAAGUCCUAUGAUACGCUGUCUGCAAACUAGCCCAGGAAAGUUGAUGGUGUAGUUCAGUUUGAGUCUGAAGGCCUGAGAACCAGGAGAGCCGAUGGUAUAAAUCCCAGUCUAGAGAAGGUGAAAUGAGGUGUUCCUGCUCAAGCAGUGAGGCAGGAAAAAGGGAUAAGUUUCUCUUCCCUCUGUCUUUGGUUGUAUUCAGGCUGUCAAUGGAUUACAUGAUGCCCACUCUCCUUUGGGGAGGGCUAUCUACUCUACUGAAUCUGCUGUUUCAAAUGAUAAUCAUCCAGAAGCACCCCCACAAGCAUAUCCAGAAAUAAUGUUUAAUAUGGGUACCCCAUAGCCAGUCAAUUGACACAUAAAAUUAAUCAUCACUGGUCUGAGAAUGCAGUCACAUUCACUGUUAUAAGAGGGAGGUAGAAGGACAUUUGAUAUACACAAGAGGAGAAGGUGAUGUGGCCAUGGAGGCAGAAACUUCAGUGGUGAAGCCACAAGCCAAGAAAUGCUAACAGCCACCAAAAGCUGGAAGAGGCUGGGAAUGGAUUUUUCCUUAGAGCUUUCAUGGGGAACAUAAGCCUGCUGCCACCUUGAUCUCAGCCCAGUGAAAACUGAUUUUGGAAUUCUAGCCUCCAGAAUUGUGAGAGAAUGUAUUUCUGUUGUUUUAAGCCACCAAGUUAGUAAUAUUUUCUUUCUUUCUUUCUUCAUUUUUUAGUUUAUUUAUUU
This 1317-nucleotide long non-coding RNA is filed under the name Felis catus (domestic cat). Its description in RNAcentral is "lncRNA (ENSFCAG00000047450.1)". Lineage: Eukaryota; Metazoa; Chordata; Mammalia; Carnivora; Felidae. The record is from RNAcentral.